This 24-nucleotide non-coding RNA is filed under the name Arabidopsis thaliana (thale cress). The record is from RNAcentral. Lineage: Eukaryota; Viridiplantae; Streptophyta; Magnoliopsida; Brassicales; Brassicaceae.
UAUUGGGUCUUUGUUUGUAUCGAC